This 87-nucleotide non-coding RNA is filed under the name Propionispora vibrioides. RNAcentral describes it as "c-di-GMP-I riboswitch aptamer". It matches the Rfam family "c-di-GMP-I riboswitch aptamer". Rfam says of the family: GEMM was predicted in a large-scale screen for bacterial structured RNA regulatory elements. Genes associated with GEMM are involved in a diverse array of functions, including chemotaxis regulation, signal transduction, secretion and chitin. RNAcentral also lists the same sequence under 1 other name. Lineage: Bacteria; Bacillati; Bacillota; Negativicutes; Selenomonadales; Sporomusaceae. The record is from Rfam by way of RNAcentral.
AAAAAUAUUGGGUAAACUUAUCGAAAGGUAAGGACACAAAGCCAUGGGUCUAAGGAUGUAUGCAUCUAUGAUUGCCAGGUUGCCUGU